This 73-nucleotide transfer RNA is filed under the name Ailuropoda melanoleuca (giant panda). It matches the Rfam family "tRNA". From Rfam's summary of the family: Transfer RNA (tRNA) molecules are approximately 80 nucleotides in length. Their secondary structure includes four short double-helical elements and three loops (D, anti-codon, and T loops). Further hydrogen bonds mediate the characteristic L-shaped molecular structure. tRNAs have two regions of fundamental functional importance: the anti-codon, which is responsible for specific mRNA codon recognition, and the 3' end, to which the tRNAs corresponding amino acid is attached (by aminoacyl-tRNA synthetases). tRNAs cope with the degeneracy of the genetic code in two manners: having more than one tRNA (with a specific anti-codon) for a particular amino acid; and 'wobble' base-pairing, i.e. permitting non-standard base-pairing at the 3rd anti-codon position. The record is from Rfam by way of RNAcentral. Lineage: Eukaryota; Metazoa; Chordata; Mammalia; Carnivora; Ursidae.
GCCUAACUGGCUCAGUUGGUAGAGCAUGUGACUCCUUAUCUCAGGGUAGUGAGUUUGAGCCCCAUGUUGGGUA